ACGGGGAGGAGGGAGGAGGAGGCGCCGACGGCGGCGUGGAGAGGCUCGUGGUCGUGGAGGCGCAGGUCAGCUCGGAACCAUACGAGCGUGCGGCGGCGACCGGCGGCGCCGGGGGCACCGGACGGGAAGGAGCGGGAGAGGCUGGGCGUGGAGGCGGGGAACGGGGAGAGGAGGGAGGCUGCGGCGGCGUUGAGGCGGGUGGAGCGGCGCGGGGAGGAGGAGGCGGCCGAGGGGUGGAGGCAGACGGCGAGGGUGGAGACUUGGGUGGGUAGGUGGAUGGCGGAGGGGACGGAUGCGAGGGUGGCGGGGAUGGUGGGGGAGCGGAGGGAAAGGGAGAGGGAGAAGGAGGCGAAGGGGAGGCUGGGGUCGUCGCGAGGGUGGGCGGCGGGGUCGGAGUCGGAGGCGGCGGCCAUGGAUGGCGAGGUGGCGGCGGCGGCGGUUGUUG
RNAcentral lists this long non-coding RNA (445 nucleotides) under Brachypodium distachyon (stiff brome). Its description in RNAcentral is "long non-coding RNA (BDIS_LNC001284)". Lineage: Eukaryota; Viridiplantae; Streptophyta; Magnoliopsida; Poales; Poaceae. The record is from RNAcentral.